GACGAACGCUGGCGGCGUGCCUAAUACAUGCAAGUAGAACGCUGAAGAGAGGAGCUUGCUCUUCUUGGAUGAGUUGCGAACGGGUGAGUAACGCGUAGGUAACCUGCCUUGUAGCGGGGGAUAACUAUUGGAAACGAUAGCUAAUACCGCAUAACAAUGGAUGACACAUGUCAUUUAUUUGAAAGGGGCAAUUGCUCCACUACAAGAUGGACCUGCGUUGUAUUAGCUAGUAGGUGAGGUAACGGCUCACCUAGGCGACGAUACAUAGCCGACCUGAGAGGGUGGUCGGCCACACUGGGACUGAGACACGGCCCAGACUCCUACGGGAGGCAGCAGGAGGGAAUCUUCGGCAAUGGGGGCAACCCUGACCGAGCAACGCCGCGUGAGGGAAGAAGGUUUUCGGAUCGUAAAGCUCUGUUGUAAGUCAAGAACGAGUGUGAGAGUGGAAAGUUCACACUGUGACGGUAGCUUACCAGAAAGGGACGGCUAACUACGUG
This 497-nucleotide ribosomal RNA is filed under the name uncultured bacterium. RNAcentral's name for it is "partial 16S ribosomal RNA". It matches the Rfam family "Bacterial small subunit ribosomal RNA", at positions 28 to 507 of the family's 1533-position model. The record is from RNAcentral.